RNAcentral lists this long non-coding RNA (1057 nucleotides) under Marmota monax (woodchuck). The record is from RNAcentral. Lineage: Eukaryota; Metazoa; Chordata; Mammalia; Rodentia; Sciuridae.
UUUCAUAUCUCUGAUUGUAUAUAAAGUAUGUUCACACCAAUUCAGAUCUUCAUACAUGUACUUUGGAUAAUGAUGUCUAUCACUUCCACCAUCAUUGCUAACCCCGCUCCCUCCCUUCCCCUCCCAUCCCUCUUCACUAUCUAGAGUUUGUCUAUUCCUCCCAUGCUCCCCCUCCUUACCCCAUUAUGGCUCAGUCACCUUAUAUCAGAGAAAAUAUUUGGCAUUUGUUUUUUGGGGAUUUGCUAACCUCACUUAGCAUUAUUUUCUCCAAUACCAUCCAUUUACCUGCAAAUGCCAUGAUUUUAUUCUCCUUUAUUGCUGAAAUAUUCCAUUGUGUAUAUAUGCCACAUUUUUUUAAUCCAUUCAUCUACUGAGGGUCAUCUAGGUUGGUUCCCCAGUUUAGCUAUUGUGGAAUUGUGCUGCUAUAAACAUUGAUGUGGCUGUGUCCCUGUAGUAUGCUGUUUUUAAGUCCUUUGGGUAUAGACUGAGGAGAUGGAUAGCUGGGUCAAAUGGUGGUUCCACUCCCAGUUUUCCAAGGAAUCUUCCAAAGAAUGGCUAUUUAAUAAUGCCAGGUUGCUGAGAGGGAAAGGAUGUAUAGAAUCCAGAGUAGAAGUGGAGAUGAUGGGAGAAUCAAUCUCAAUUGUAAGAGAAAAUUAGUAGAAGAGGAUAGUUAUAGAUGAAACUAAGUCACAGCCAACCACAUAACUACUCUAUUUCCGUUUUUGUUUUUGCAGCUUUAUGACUAGGACAGUGGUUGUAGGUGGAAGUGAAAAGUGAAACAUCCAGGUCAGGGUCUUAAAGGAGAGCCACAGACCCCCUUACUGCUCUCAUUUGCAGGCUGAUUGGGGAUAUGAAGGAAGCCAUCUUUGAUUAGGCAGGAAGGGUAACUCACUAGGGAUGGCAGAAUGACAUCUCAAAUCAUUUUAUCAUUCUUGGUUUUUAUGCAUGAAAAAGAAGAAAAAACCCUACAAUCUUACGUCUCUGUAAUUUUUUUUCUCUAUUGUCAUAGCAACCUAACCAGCAUUUUAACUAACACAGUAGAUUUAUAAAUUUGGUA